GAAACCUGAGUAUGUAAGCAAACAGCUGCAUCACAAUGGCAUUAAUUUGAUUUAGGGCUGUGUUGGAGAUGAUGGUUUUGAUCACUGAUUUAAGAAGAAGAAGGCUGAAAUUCUUGUGAAUUUAGCAAUUUUCUCUUUUACCAGUUGAUCAGUAUUCAACAUGCUGCUGUGGCAGUGCUGAUCCAGACAUGUGAGGGAGAAAGGAUCAGCGGAACUCUGAACCAGCUGCUCUGUGGUGCCCUGAGAGGCAGCACUGUCAGUACACAUGGACUUCACUGCCAGAUGGACACACAUCCUCCAGAUCAGAUCUGCCUGCCCGGUGGGCUAAAAGAAUGACAAUGAUGGCAUCGCCAAAAGGGACUGUUGGGAUAAAGCAUGAAAAGUACUUCUCAUCCACGCUGGAGGUCUAAUCUGAAGUUUAUACACUUACAGUUGAUAAAGUUAAAUGUGUUC
This 453-nucleotide long non-coding RNA is filed under the name Mus caroli (Ryukyu mouse). Its description in RNAcentral is "lncRNA (MGP_CAROLIEiJ_G0005791.1)". Lineage: Eukaryota; Metazoa; Chordata; Mammalia; Rodentia; Muridae. The record is from RNAcentral.